RNAcentral lists this ribosomal RNA (262 nucleotides) under Acinetobacter pittii. RNAcentral describes it as "partial 23S ribosomal RNA". It matches the Rfam family "Bacterial large subunit ribosomal RNA", at positions 2686 to 2925 of the family's 2925-position model. The record is from RNAcentral. Lineage: Bacteria; Pseudomonadati; Pseudomonadota; Gammaproteobacteria; Moraxellales; Moraxellaceae.
AGAGGACCAGAGUGGACGAACCUCUGGUGUACCGGUUGUGACGCCAGUCGCAUCGCCGGGUAGCUAUGUUCGGAAGGGAUAACCGCUGAAAGCAUCUAAGCGGGAAGCCUACCUCAAGAUAAGAUUUCCCUAGGAAUUUAUUCCUCUAAAGAGCCGUUCGAGACUAGGACGUUGAUAGGUUGGAUGUGGAAGCAUAGUGAUAUGUGAAGCUGACCAAUACUAAUUGCUCGUGAGGCUUGACUAUACAACACCCAAGCAGUUG